Non-coding RNA from Rattus norvegicus (Norway rat), 205 nucleotides. The record is from Rfam. Lineage: Eukaryota; Metazoa; Chordata; Mammalia; Rodentia; Muridae.
UCUGCUGAGCUCUCUCUGAAGUGCGAUGGGCUAAACAAGUGUGCAUAUGGUGAUUGUAGUCCUGAUAAACUUGCAGUAGGCUACCCCAGGUGUUAAAAACCAAGGAGGGCAAACUCAGGCUAAGGACACCUCAGAGACAAUACAGAAAUAAACUGCACUUUCAAGGAAGGUUUACAGCUCUUCGUUCGAGUCUGCAAAUUAUUGU